UGCACCUUGCGCUCCUUGGUAUUCCGAGGAGCAUGCCUGUUUGAGUGUCUUGAAAUCAUCAAACCCCUCCGGUUUCUUGCCUGGAGCGGGUUUGGACUUGGGGGUUUUUGCUGCCUUUACCGGUGGCUCCCGUUAAAUGAAUCGGUCAGGCUUUUCGUGUGGCUUGUCGUUUGGCGUUGUAUCAACCUCGUCGCUGGAUGGCUCGCGAGCUUUAGCGCCCCUCCAAGACCAGCCUCUGGAGCGGCAGUCAACUUCAAUUUGUGAUCUGACCUCAAAUCAGGUAGGACUACCCGCUGAACUUAA
Molecule: unclassified non-coding RNA, 303 nt
Filed under: Hydnodontaceae sp.
Lineage: Eukaryota; Fungi; Basidiomycota; Agaricomycetes; Trechisporales; Hydnodontaceae
Description: partial contains 5.8S ribosomal RNA, internal transcribed spacer 2, and large subunit ribosomal RNA
Source: RNAcentral